CCUACGGGAGGCAGCAGUAGGGAAUAUUGGACAAUGGGCGCAAGCCUGAUCCAGCCAUGCCGCGUGCAGGAUGAAGGCCUAUGGGUCGUAAACUGCUUUUGUACGGGAAGCGGUACCGUAAGAAUAAGGAUCGGCUAACUUCGUGCCAGCAGCCGCGGUAAUACGAAGGAUCCAAGCGUUGUCCGGAUUUACUGGGUUUAAAGGGAGCGUAGGCGGACUUUUAAGUCAGUGGUGAAAGCUUGCAGCUUAACUGUAAAAUUGCCAUUGAAACUGAAAGUCUCGAGUAUGGUUGAGGUGACUGGAAUAUAUCAUGUAGCGGUGAAAUGCUUAGAUAUGAUAUAGAACACCAAUUGCGAAGGCAGGUCACUAAACAUACUGACGCUGAGGCUCGAAAGCGUGGGGAUCAAACAGGAUUAGAUACCCUUGUAGUC
This 431-nucleotide ribosomal RNA is filed under the name uncultured bacterium. RNAcentral's name for it is "partial 16S ribosomal RNA". It matches the Rfam family "Bacterial small subunit ribosomal RNA", at positions 338 to 795 of the family's 1533-position model. The record is from RNAcentral.